UUUUUUUUUUUUUAUGUUGUAGGAUAGGGCCUCAGAAAGAGUUCCUCAGGUCUUUGAACAGAUCUGGCCUGUGUCGUCCUGAAUCCAAAGAAGAACCACUGAAGCCAUCAGUAAACCCAGCUCUUUGCACAAUGACUGAAAUGUUGCUGGUCUUCAUUAAAUAAUAAUCACAUUUGGGGGAAAAACUUCUGCAAUUAGGAGUGUAGGAUCCAGAGUCAAACUGCCCUGGUUCAGACCUUCACUCCAUACUUCACUGUGUGUCUCGAGGCAAGUACGUCAUCCUUUCUGAGCUUCAUUUUCUCAUUUGUAAAACAAGGAGUCUAAUAGAACUUUCAAAAGGUUGGAAGAAUAGAGGCGCCUGGUUUGGUUGUUAGUUAAGUGUCUGACUCUUCGCUUUGGCUCAGGUCAUCAUCUCAGGGUCAUGGGCUUGAGCCCUGAGUCAGGCUCCAUGUUCAGCAGGGAGUCGUCUUGAGAUUCUCUCCCUCAGCCCCUCCCCCUACUUACUGUCCUAAAAAUAAAUAAGUAAAUCUUAAAAAAAAAAAAAAAAAAAAAGAUUGGGAGAAUAACUGAGUUAAUACAUGAACAGCACUGGUAAACUGUGCCCAGCACACAGUGAGUGUUGAAUAAAUGUGUUAUUCACAUAAAUCUGGAUCUGUGGUGAGAUCCUCACCCUACAGCCUUACUGUUUAAGCAUUUUUACAUCUUUCCAAAGUGAGUGUGUGCGGGGUGGACACCCCACCCCACCCACCCCACCCCCACUAGCCCUACUGCUCUUCCUACAGACGUGCCUGGAACAUUCCAUCACCACUUCUGUGUAUACUUAGCACUGCAUUCAAUGGUGAACAAGACACAAAGGACUGAACAGGUGGCCACAGUUCCAUGGGUUUCAGGCUAUAACAGCUGGAAGAGCAGGGGGUGUGGGCCUGUACGGCAAGCGCCCCCAACCCCCUGGGGGAAGUGGAAGCAGCAGUCAGGAGGUGAUUAUCCAUGGGCAGAGCCUUCAAAAGCCCCAAGGAGAAGGGCCAGAGCUAGUGUGGAUGAACAGGGACCAAUGGCCACACACCCUAUGGCCCCAGCUGCCAUCUUUCCUGAUGCCAAACCGUGCUGAUGGCUGGCUGGACCACCAUCUCUGCCACAUGCCACAAUGGGCCUGGCCCCACUGUUCCCGGGCAUCAGCAUUGCUAGAGUUCACAUCUGAACACAUAUGUGACUACGGGCAAAACUGGUGAGUCCCUAAUAGAAACCUGUUGCCCCACUCUCCUGAGAAGCUCUGCUGUCGGGGAGGCUUCAUUGAAAACUGGCAAUAACCAAGUAAAGCUGCUUGGACAUGCUCUGAGCAGUUGGCAUAUUUAGUCCGCUCCAGAAACUGGAAACCUUAAGCUAGAUAUACUUGUCUUGGCAUUUUAAAAUGUAUUUUCCUUCCCUCCCCUUCCCACUCACUCAUGCCUACCUUUCCCGUAGCUUGGGUCACUCAUGUUGUGUAAUAUCAAGUGGACUCAAAUAGGUUUCCAAAUUUCCUUUCUUUAAAGAACGCAUGAACAUGAGUCUAGAUCUGGGCAUUCAGGUGCCACAGAACAGAAGGAGGUCUGACAAGUACCUAUUGAACAUCUUCCCU
This 1615-nucleotide long non-coding RNA is filed under the name Canis lupus familiaris (dog). RNAcentral describes it as "lncRNA (ENSCAFG00000055057.1)". The record is from RNAcentral. Lineage: Eukaryota; Metazoa; Chordata; Mammalia; Carnivora; Canidae.